GCCGCGUGAGCGAAGAAGGCCUUCGGGUUGUAAAGCUCAGUCACUCGGGAAGAGCGGAUGCGGGAGGGAAUGCCCGUGUCGAGACGGUACCGAGAGAGGAAGCCCCGGCUAACUACGUGCCAGCAGCCGCGGUAAUACGUAGGGGGCAAGCGUUGUCCGGAAUCACUGGGCGUAAAGCGUGCGUAGGCGGUGACGCAAGUCUGGAGUGAAAGUCCAGGGCUCAACCCUGGGAAUGCUUUGGAAACUGCGUGACUUGAGUGCUGGAGAGGCAAGGGGAAUUCCACGUGUAGCGGUGAAAUGCGUAGAUAUGUGGAGGAAUACCAGUGGCGAAGGCGCCUUGCUGGACAGAGACUGACGCUGAGGCACGAAAGCGUGGGGAGCAAACAGGAUUAGAUACCCUGGUAGUCA
RNAcentral lists this ribosomal RNA (408 nucleotides) under uncultured bacterium. Its description in RNAcentral is "bacterial SSU rRNA". It matches the Rfam family "Bacterial small subunit ribosomal RNA", at positions 396 to 796 of the family's 1533-position model. The record is from RNAcentral.